UUGAGACAUCUUUGGUGCAAAAUGGUGGUUUAAUAAAGCACGGGAACAGGACCCGUGGGCAGGAAGAGCUGCUGCCCUGGGUUGUGAGGUAUCAGUAUCAUGGCCAUGAGUGUCUUGUGGAUAUCUUACAAGAGCAAAGGCUGAAUGAUAGGACCCUCCAAGAUUUUCUGGUUUAUUUCCAUAGAGGACGCUUCUGAUGUCACUACUCUUCUCAUUGAAAGUAUCACUAGGAAACCCAACUGUUUUCCUUAUGCAUCCUCCAUUUUCACUUCCCCAAGGUAUGAGAGACAUACAUCUUAAGCAGUUCAAGUUCUGUGCUACAUGCUGAUGAUACAAAAAUCAGUAAGAAAAAAUUGCUGAUAUUCUAGUAGAGAAAAAGAAUAUACCGAAAAGACUCAAAUUUUAUAUCAGUUCUGCAUCUGUUUUUGGUACUUAAAUUGGAUAUUGGCAGAAAACACACUAUUCCCUGAAGGCAGAUUAUAUCUCAAAUUUAUUCAUAUGCAAUUCUAGGUAAUUAUAUCACAUUCCAAUUUCAAGUAAAAUUACUAACAUGAAGUAUCAUGUUUAUUUUGCCAUCAAAAUAGGUGCCUAUCUUUAUCACAAGGAAGCAAGAUUUUACUUGGUUUGAAAUAUGUCCACAUAGACACAGCAAAAUGGAUCAAACCUGAGAAGACAAGAAAGGGGAAUAGAUGUUGAGAGAAU
Mustela lutreola (European mink) is the source of this 702-nucleotide long non-coding RNA. RefSeq lists it as uncharacterized. The transcript is spliced from 4 exons. The record is from RefSeq and is a predicted model, not a curated record. Lineage: Eukaryota; Metazoa; Chordata; Mammalia; Carnivora; Mustelidae.